Small nuclear RNA from Bombina bombina (fire-bellied toad), 103 nucleotides. The record is from RefSeq and is a predicted model, not a curated record. Lineage: Eukaryota; Metazoa; Chordata; Amphibia; Anura; Bombinatoridae.
UAGCUUUGACAGCUUAUAAAGUAAAAUUGGAAAGAUACAGAGAAGAUUAGCUUGCCCUCCGUGCAAGGCAGACAGGCAUAUUCCUGAUGCAUUCUAUAUUGUU